ACUGCAUACAAUCAGCCAUCACCCAUAAUAACAUAUAAAAACAUAAACAAGAAUUUUAUUCGAUUAAAAUAAUUUACUUAACGUUGUUUUUUUUUUUUUUAUUCAGGCUAACACUAUUCAUUAAGUUUUUUUUUAUAUUAAGUUAAAAUUGUAUUGAACAUAUACUAAUUAUACUUAUAUAAUAUGAAUUAAAUUAAAAUAAAAAUAAUUGUAUAGGUAGGUACAUUGAAAGAAGAAAAACAAACGAUUUUCGAGACGUUGAAAAAUUAAUAUUAAAAUAACAUUAUAAUUGUUCGAUCAAUAUUAAACUUCUAAAUAUGAAUUUAAUUCAAACUUAAAACAAUAAUACCGAUCGUAUUAUUUGGUUAUGUGAAAAUAUAGAUAUUUUCGUGUAUUUUUAAAUCUAUGCCGACGUUUUUCUCUAAAUUUCUUUAACACAAUUAUUAUUAUGUUAUGAGAAUAAAAAUAAAUUUUAUAUCAAAGCAUAAUUUAAAUUAAUCAAUAAAACAUUUUAUUAGCAUUUGUUUGUAAAUAAUAUAAUUGAUUAGAAAAUAAUAUGAAUGCAUUAUUACAGUAGGAAACUAUUAUUAAAAUUGUGUAUUAUAACGUCAUAUUCGAUUCGUAUAAUAAGAGUCACGCUUAGAAAUGUGUUAUUGAACAAAAAUAUGCAUAAAAAAUCGCUUGACCACUUGAUUGACUAGUGAAACGUUAACUUAUUACAUAUUAUAAUGUUAUUAUCAAUAUUAUCGUUAGUUCAAAACGUUUAAAUAUAUUUUUUUAAAUGUGUUAUACCUAAAACGAAAUCGUACGAAAACGCCAUUUACCGUGUAGAAUAUCAAAAAUCUGUGAAAAUAAUAUUAUAUGUUUAAUAGCAGAAAUAUAUAUAUUUCUUUAUCUAACAAAAAUAUGCACAUAAGACCAUAAAUUUAGGCAACGUAAUGGUAUAAUAUUAUUUAAACUAUUUCAUAGUUAAGAUUAUUUUCAAAAGCCAAUAUUAUUAUUGUUUUUAUGGGAAUAGGUACUCGAAAAUUAUUUCUAACGUUUACCAAUAAUGUUUUGACAUUAUAAUAACUUUAUUAGUAUUGCAGUAUAAUGCAGUAGGUUAAGGUACGCAUAAAAGACUAUUAGAAUUUAUAAAAAAAAAAUAUAUAAAAAAAAAAACAAGUUAACAAUAAUAGAUUGUUGAUUGAUUAGAAUAUAAUAAUUUUUAAUACGUAC
Cinara cedri is the source of this 1218-nucleotide non-coding RNA. The record is from the annotation of a GenBank genome assembly. Lineage: Eukaryota; Metazoa; Arthropoda; Insecta; Hemiptera; Aphididae.